Molecule: ribosomal RNA, 208 nt
Filed under: uncultured bacterium
Lineage: Bacteria
Description: partial 16S ribosomal RNA
Rfam family: Bacterial small subunit ribosomal RNA
Source: RNAcentral
CGCGUAGGCGGUUUGGUAAGUCGGAUGUGAAAUCCCCGGGCUCAACCUGGGAAUUGCAUUCGAUACUGCUUGACUAGAGUAUGGUAGAGGGAAGUGGAAUUUCAGGUGUAGCGGUGAAAUGCGUAGAUAUCUGAAGGAACAUCAGUGGCGAAGGCGACUUCCUGGACCAAUACUGACGCUGAGGUGCGAAAGCGGUGGGGAGCAAACA